AUGACCCAGCCCGCCUCGGUCUGGCUCUGGCCCCCAAUCAAAAACCAUCGUCAUAAAAAGCCCCUUUUAACCCGAAGACGGCCUCCUCCGUCGAAGUCAGCCAUGGCGCCGCCGCAGCACGACCCCCGCCGCCCCUACAAGCGCCCCGCCAUCUCCGACCAGCAGCGCCGCCGCGACUCCGCCCUCCAGACCCAGUCCGCCCGCCGCGCCGACGCCCAGGCGCGCGCGCGCAGCCUCGCCAACUCCCUCCUGUCUCCCCAACCCUCCUCCCCCGCCGCCGCCGACCAACCCCCGCCCUCCCCCGACGCCCGAGACGAACGCGGCCAUGAUCCCACCGUCGCCGACGUCGCCUCGGCCGCAGCCAAGCUCCGCGGCCCCGACCAGCGCCGCUGGUUCGCCCGCCAGAUCAUGCUCCCCGAGUGGAUGGUCGACGCCCCUCCCCGCCUCGCCCGCGACUGGCAUGUUUCUGCCAGACCUGCUGGCAAACGAUGCAUGGUCGUGUCGUCGAACGGCAUCACGAUUAGCAGGCUCCGUAACGGAACCAUUCUUCACCGCUUCCCCUCCGCCUUGCCCAACGGGUCCAAGAAAGGACUCUCUGGCCCUGCAAGCUCCUACUCUAUCCUCGACUGCAUAUUCCAUGAGCCUGAUGAGACCUACUACAUCGUUGAUAUGAUUUGUUGGCGAGGCUAUUCGCUGUAUGAUUGCACUGCCGAGUUCAGGUUUUUUUGGGUGAACUCCAAGCUUACAGAGACUUCUGCUGGUGAUCCUCCAUCGACAUACCAUCGUUAUAGAUUCAGUGUUGUCCCUAUGUAUGAAUCCACGCUUGAAGGCCUUCAAGCAGCAUAUUCGGGAAGCACACCUUAUGUCAAAGAUGGCUUGCUGUUCUAUAACAAGCAUGCACAUUUUCAAGCUGGAAUCACACCCCUUACAUUAGUAUGGAAAGACAAUACCUGCAGCCAAUACCUUAUUGAUACGGAUAGCGAGGGACAAGUUCCAACUGAGCAACAUGUUGUGUUGGAGCUGCAAGAGGAUGGAAAGCUAGUUACUUCUGAUGAUCCUCCAAUUGCAUUUGGUAGCUUGGACAACGAAUUUAUCCAGAAGUCAAACCUGCGGCCAGGGAACCUUCUCCGCUUCAGUGUAAGAGAUGAAAGUGUGAAACUUGUGGAUGGGAAGAUGGAGAUUGGUCAGCUGCAACUUGCGGGAAAGCUGAACCGUUCUCGUACUUUUGCUGACAGCCACUCCAAAGUUUUGUUCCAGUAUGCUGCCAGGCAUGCUCCUCUGAGAAUUGAGGAUCUGGUAGCCGCUGUUCAAUCAAACAGUAUGGAGAUUGAAUCCACAGAUGUUGAAAUGCAAGGUUGA
This 1359-nucleotide ribosomal RNA is filed under the name Triticum aestivum (bread wheat). Its description in RNAcentral is "partial small subunit ribosomal RNA". Lineage: Eukaryota; Viridiplantae; Streptophyta; Magnoliopsida; Poales; Poaceae. The record is from RNAcentral.